Molecule: long non-coding RNA, 5274 nt
Filed under: Gallus gallus (chicken)
Lineage: Eukaryota; Metazoa; Chordata; Aves; Galliformes; Phasianidae
Description: lncRNA (ENSGALG00010008805.1)
Source: RNAcentral
UGGUGCCCAAAACCGCAUGCAGCAGUAGUCAAUAUGAAUAGUGAACUGAAAAAUGUUCAGCAUCUCUAUUAAAAGGCGAUGACCUGGCUGUGGCCAUCAGUUGAGGAAGACAGAGCAGUGCUCCACACUGGGAUGUCUUCAGGUAGAGAUAAACUGGUGAAAUGACAGACCUCUGAAAACCAGCAUUCUGGAAACCCAGCAGUGGGAAUUUUGCCACAGUGGAACUGGGAUAGAGCAGGAAUAUGAUCUUGUUGGCAGGUUUGCACUGCUGUUGUCUGAUGGAGGUUAUGCCUACUUUGCUCCACUGGCAUUAGCCAUGGUGCUGUAUGGGGAGAGAGACUGCCCAUGACAGAAGCAUCACUGUUAUACAGUUCCUCACUCAAUUCAAUCUCCCUGCUGAUCACCAUUGGAGAGCAGAUUGCAACUUGGGGAAGUGAUGUUGGUGGCAGUGCUGCAGCUCUGUAGGUUCAGUCAUGCUAGAGAUUAGGUCUGCUUCAAGCUGUCUCAUGUCCAUGCCCUUCCUCUGAUCCCAAUCAUUAAAAGAUAAGAUUUCUUGAAAUAUCAGCAAUUUUUUUGCCCCCCCCCCUGGCUGGAGCAAACCACUUAGCAUACAGAUGUGGGAACACUUGAAUAGGUUUUCAGUGGAAAAGAAAUGCUGAGCUCCUAAGAUGUAUAAUUUAUACAGACUAAUCAUCUUUCACCUGCAGAGUGCUGGUAAAUGCUGCUUUUGUACCGUGGUCAAGGGCAUGCAUCAAUAAGCCGGAAAAAAGGGAUGUGGUGACAGUAUUUGUUUCUUCUGAGGAAAAAAAAAAAAAAAAACAGAAUAAAAAUAAGAAUACGCAUCAGAGAGGAAGAGUCCUGGCUUCUCAGAGUUUCCCUAAUGUGCACUUGGUUUAAAACUUUCUUCUUUUUUCUUUGAGGACAGUGUUGCAGGUUUUGAACUACGUACUUUUCAAAAAAAGAUUGAGUAAGGAAGCAUGGCAAUGUGAGGACAGCUCCUUUCUCAGCCCCUCCCGGACGUACCACACAGUAAGGAGCAUGCGUUAAUUGCUGGCUGCAAAAACACAGGGAUACCAAGCACCUCAAGUUUUGCUGUAAGACUAGGAGCCACAGAGCAGUGAGGAUUUAUGCAUCUGGAAUAGAACUAUGAAUGGGAUUGCAGGAUUUACAUGGAGGACUCUGAAAUCCCUCACUUCCUGCUCCAGGAAGGGUAGGUGAAUGGGAUAAUUCAUAAUUAACUUGGUCCUUACUUCAGAAGGUUGUUAGUCAAAACAGGAAGAUAUAAUUCAGAUGAAUGUAUGUGAGAAUAGAAGAGACUUCAGAUGCAGACACACCCCUUAAUUGCAAACACCAGACUUCAGAAUUUUCUGUUCCUGUUUAGUGGAAAGAGGGUUCCCAUAAAGAGUAGCAUGAGGUUGCUACAAAUUACCCCUCCCUCAGCCUGAUCCCCCAGCUGAUACAGAGCUUUUGUAUUUGGUAGCUUUUCACCCAAAGUUGGAGAGUUCUGAAAUGAUGUAAGGGGACUAGAGAUGCACAAGUUGUUCCUAGCAGCUGCAGCCCAGGUUUGGGUUUCUCUUGCAUCCAUCUCUUACUUCUUCACUGCCCACAGAAGGGAAGAGAGAAAUCAGGAGCCAAACCCUUUGGAUCGGUGUGAGUUCACUUCCGGCUCUUUCUUUGUUUCUCACUGAUGCAUAGGGCCAUUAUGAGAGAAUGGCACAUAACUGAUAUUGAAACUAAAUCAUUUCUUUCUUGUUUCUUUCUACCUUGAAAGUAUUUAAUGCAUACAGACUUCAAGUUUUGAUCUGUGAAUGAGAUCUAUGCUUCUUAGUACAAUCUGUUCAGCAGGAGUAGAUACAACUUCUGUUGUAAAAGUGUAAGACUGUGGAGCUCUUAAAAUUUUUGCAGGGGUUCACAAUUCAUCCACGUAGGGUGGAUCAGGAUUUUGUUUGUAAUUCUGUGUAAGUAAUGAUGUUGAACAGUGCCUACGAGUGUGAACUCUGGAUAGCAGAUAUCACUAUCUGCAUAACUCCUGAGGCAAGCUGUGACACAAUAGUAAAGAACUAGUAAAAUUGAACUCUAACACAAGAACUAGUAAAACUGAGCUCUAAUGCAGGCAGAUUAGCAGCAGAAUCUUUGUAUUAAUUUGAAUGUUCUAAUAGCAUAGGUUUGUUUUGUCUAUUUAAGCAGGGCUAAAAAUAGAAGCUGCAUCAUCCAGGGCAGCGUGGGAUGGCUUCCUAAAUGAGUCUUUCCCUUACAUGAGUGAGGACAGAUAAUCCCCCCAAAAAGACAUGAGUCUGGGCAGGACUUCAGAAAGCCAGCACUGAGAUGUUGUCACACUUCCUACAGCACUGCAACCCAGAGGGAAUGGGACAGGAGGAAUGGUUCUGAUGAUGAUACUAUUGCCUUCAAGAUGCUAGGGAGGAAGUCUGAAGCUUUUCUUGAACCACAAAUCUGCAACUCAUGGAGAGGAAGGAGAAGUGUAUAGUGAGGUGGAGCAGGUUACAGCAAGGUGUGGGUGCAUCUUGGCACAUGGAGGGGGAGCAGGACAGGCAGCAGAACAGCAACGCUGUCAGUAGUAUGUUGGAGUGGCUGGAGCUCUGUGAGCAGAGGAAGAAAGCAAAUGCAAGCGACUUCUCCAGAAGAAGGAGUGGGAUGAAAGGAUGCAGUAGGGUGAAGAGGGUGGGAGUAUUCCUGUUGAAUGAUAUACAACAAAUACUUUCUUCCCUCUGUAGGUGUUUUUUGCUGGGCUGUAUUUGAGUGUAAAUUUGAGAAUCUCCAUCCUCUGCAGAGAGAGAAAAAGUGAAGUAAAGGUUGAGAGCCAGGAAUAAAACUUUUGUGAACUGGAGGAAAAAUCAGGGGUGAAAAGUGUACAGGCAAUAAUAACAAAAAAUAUUUUUUUGGAGGGGAAAUUUGCAAGAUAGGGGAUGGGAAGGAUGGGAAAGCAUCGUCACACUGCCCUCAAAUGUUUGGUUUGGUAGAAGGGGACUGGGGAAGCAACAUUCCUCCCACUGUAAGCAAGGAUCAGGUUUGUGACUGCCUGAGGAAUAUGAACAUCCUGAAAACCUACAGGUCUUGAUGAGGUACAUCCCAGAGUCCAAAGGAAAUUGGCUGAUGUGGUGGCCAACCCACUCUAUGGUACUGGAAAGGUCAUGGCAAUCAGGUGAUGUUUGGAUGAUGGAAAAAAGGCAACAUCACAACAAUUUUUAAGGGUAAAAAGGAUUACCUUCAGUGGACUGAUCAGUAGACAAAGAACUGGCUGCAGGAUCUAGUCCAGAGAGUGAUGGUCUAUGGCUCAAUGUCAGGUUGGAGAUCAGUGACAAGUGAUGUCCCCUAAGGGUCCGUACUGGGACCAAUACUCUUUAAUAUCUUCAUCAGUAAUGCUGACAGUGGGGUGGAGUGCACUCUCAGCAAGUCUGCUGAUGACACCAAGCUGUGGGGUACAAUUGACACACCAGAGGGAUGGGAUGCAAUCCAGAGGGAUUUAGACAGUCUUGAACAGAGGGCCCAGGAGAACCUCAUGAGGUUCAACAAAUCCAAAUGCAUGGUAUUGCACCUCAGUUGAGUCAACAUCUUGUACCAAUACAAGCUAGGAGAUGAAAGGUCUGAGCACAGCCCUGGUGAAAAAUACCUGGGGGUACUGGUGGAUGGCAAGCUGGACAUGAGCCAGCAGUGUGCCCUCACAGCCCAGAAAGUCAACCAUACCCUGGGCUGUAUCAAAAGAUGCAUGACCAGCAGGUCGAGGGAGGUGAUCCUGCCCCUCUGCUGUGCACUGCUGAGGCCUCACUGGGAGUAUUGCAUCCACAUGUGGAGUGCUCAGUACCGGAGAGCUCUGCGCUCAUUUUCUCCAGAUUGGAGAGAGAUGGAUUUGAUGAGUGGACUGUUUGAUGGACAAAGAACUGGCUGUGGGAUCAAGUCCAGAGAGUAGUGGUCAAUGCCUCAGUGUCUGGACGGAAGAUCUGUGACGAGCACUGUCCCCCAGGGCAUCAGUGCUGGGAUCCAUACUCUUUACUGUCUUCCUCAGUGAUGCUGACAGUGGGGUCGAGUGAACCCUCAGUUAGUCUGCUGAUGAUGCCAAGCUGUCGGGUGCAGCCAAGACACCAGAGGAAUGGGAUGCCAUCCAGGGAGACCUAGACAGGCUUGAGCAGUGGGCCCAGGUGAAUCUCAUGAUGUUCAACAACUACAGAACGGCAGUCCUGAAUAACCGAGGAUGUCCCAGUGUACUGGAGAUGAGCAAAUGUGAUGCCCAUCUUCAAAAAUGGCCAGAAAGAUGAUCCUGGUAGCUACAUACCUAUAGACCUCAGUCUCACCUCAGUGCCCGGGAAAGUUAUGGAACGGAUAAUCUUGGGAGCCAUCAUGGACCAAUUAAACAUCAACCAGGGAAUCAGGCCCAGGCAGCAUGGGUUUACGAAUGGUAGGUCCUGUCUGACAAACCUGAUUUCAUUCUAUGACAAGGUGACCCGCUUAGUGGAUGAAGGUAAGGCUGUCGAUGUGGUCUACCUGGACUUCAGUAAAGCCUUUGACACUGCCCCCCACAGCAUUCUUAGUGGGAAGCUGGCUGCUCACGGUUUGGAUGGGCGUAUGCUCCGCUGGGUGAAACACUGGCUGUAUGGCCGGGCCCAAAGAGUUGUGGUCAAUGGAAUUAAAUCCAGUUGGCAGCUGGUCACGAGCGGUGUCCCCCAGGGUUCGCUACUGGGGCCACUUCUGUUUAACAUCCUUAUUAACAGUCCUGAUGAGGGGAUUGAGUGCACCCUCAGUAAGUUUGCAGAUGACACCAAGUUGGGAGGGAGUGUUGAUUUGCCAGAGGGGAGAAAGGCACUACAGAGGGACCUGGAUAGACUGGAUUGAUGGGCCAAGGUUAACUGUAUGAGUUUCAACAGGGCCAAGUGUCGGGUCCUUCAUUUUGGUCACAACAGCCCCAGGCAACCCUACAGGCUUGGGGAGGAGUGGCUGGAAAGCUGCCUGAUGGAAAGGGACCUCGGUGUACUGAUGGACAGUUGGCUGAAUAGGAGCUAGCAGUGUGCCCAGGUGGCCAAGAAGGUCAGUGGCAUCCUGGUUUGUAUCACGAAUGGUGCGGUGAGCAGGGCUGGGGAAGUAAUCCUGUCCCUGUACUUGGCACUUGUGAGGCCUCACCUCGAGUACCAUGUUCAGUUUUGGGCACUUCAGUACAGAAAGGACAUUGAGGUGCUGGAGCAGGUCCAAAGAAGGGCAACAAGGCUUGUGAAGGGCUUGGAGAAUAUGUCCUAUGAGGAGCGACUGAAGGAACUGGGGCUGUUU